Molecule: non-coding RNA, 79 nt
Organism: Podospora didyma
Lineage: Eukaryota; Fungi; Ascomycota; Sordariomycetes; Sordariales; Podosporaceae
Source: the annotation of a GenBank genome assembly
GGCCUGGAGGCCAAAUGGUAAGGCAUCUGGUUUCGGAACAGUUCUCAGAAGAUUGUGCGUUCGAGCCGCAUCCAGGUCG